This 593-nucleotide ribosomal RNA is filed under the name uncultured bacterium. Its description in RNAcentral is "bacterial SSU rRNA". It matches the Rfam family "Bacterial small subunit ribosomal RNA", at positions 334 to 917 of the family's 1533-position model. The record is from RNAcentral.
UACUCCUACGGGAGGCAGCAGUGGGGAAUUUUGCGCAAUGGGGGAAACCCUGACGCAGCAACGCCGCGUGAGUGAUGAAGGCUUUCGGGUCGUAAAGCUCUGUCUAGAGGGAAGAAAUGAUAAUCGGUUAAUACCCGGUUUUCUUGACGGUACCUCUGAAGGAAGCACCGGCUAACUCCGUGCCAGCAGCCGCGGUAAUACGGAGGGUGCAAGCGUUGUUCGGAUUUAUUGGGCGUAAAGCGCGUGUAGGCGGUUUGUUAAGUCUGAUGUGAAAGCCCUGGGCUCAACCUGGGAAGUGCAUUGGAAACUGGCAGACUUGAAUACGGGAGAGGGUAGUGGAAUUCCUAGUGUAGGAGUGAAAUCCGUAGAUAUUAGGAGGAACACCGGUGGCGAAGGCGGCUACCUGGACCGAUAUUGACGCUGAGACGCGAAAGCGUGGGGAGCAAACAGGAUUAGAUACCCUGGUAGUCCACGCCGUAAACGAUGAGAACUAGGUGUUGCGGGUAUUGACCCCUGCAGUGCCGCAGCUAACGCAUUAAGUUCUCCGCCUGGGAAGUACGGUCGCAAGACUAAAACUCAAAGGAAUUGACCGG